CGAGGCCUACUUUAUAACGAAUAUAAUAUAUUUAGGUGUGAAUGAUUAAAGCGGUCAGGAUGGACAAAUCUGUCAGCGGUUUAGUCCAUUCUAUUUUUGGAGCGGACAAUAAACCACGGCGGACCAACUCUAUUUAUACAUGAAUUUGGUCUACACUUGGUCCGCAACAAUUUUUUUUUGUUUUUUUUGAAACGUCACAACUGCAGAUACAAUUAAUGAAUGGUAAACAAAAAAUGAUUAGUUACAUAGAUGGUUUUGCCUGCUCAAACCGCUGUAUCCAUUCACAACCUUACGAUUUAUAUCCGUCCACUGUAGUACUGUUUUGGCCAAGCCAAUUGAUUAAUAACCCAC
This 351-nucleotide long non-coding RNA is filed under the name Capsella rubella. Its description in RNAcentral is "long non-coding RNA (CRUB_LNC001545)". Lineage: Eukaryota; Viridiplantae; Streptophyta; Magnoliopsida; Brassicales; Brassicaceae. The record is from RNAcentral.